CCUCCCACCAAGCCCAGCUCCAUACUGGGGCUCUCUCUUGGUGGGCUGUGCUGACACCUCGGCUUAUUCUCAUUUUGACAGAAUUAAGCUGCUGGUUUCCACCUGGAUAACACGCACCCAGUGCCAGGGCCCUGAGGCCUCCGCAGGCCUUAACGGUCCUGACCAGCUUCACCUGGGGCCUCCACCACACCCCCAUACACCGGGCACAUGGGCUGCAUUUAAGCUCAGCUCUGGGCCUUUGAAACCUUUCCUGAGCUGUGGUGUGGGAGUGUUGGUCUCCAGCUGAGCCCAGCCAUGACUGCUAUGGACCUGCUGAUCCUGACCUGUGCGCUGAUGUCCCAGCUUAGCCUCUCUCCAGUCUCGCCACCAUGGACCUGCCUGAUGAUCUGGACUCCUGACCGAACCUGGUUACUGCACCAGGCUUGCUCUGCUCACCUCGCUCAGACUUUUGUCCCUCGCCCUGGUAGAGUGAGGUUCUGUGGAAAAACUGAGGCAAGCAAGCACUGCUUUUUAAGAAAACACUUCCUUUCAGGUAAGGAGCUGUACAGCUCAGUGAAACAUGUCUGACAGUUUUCUGCUUUCAUAAAUAUUCAAAAGCAGCCAUACUGUGAGCUGACUAAUCUGAAGACCUCCUCCUGAACACAGCUUUCCACUCAGGUCCUUUUGCAGACAAGAAUCUUGAACUGUAGCUUCUUCCUGGGAUGGGCAGAUGUUAACCAGAGCCCCAGCAUGGGAAACUGAGGCAGGACGACUCACCAGGAGCUCACUGGGCAAGUCGAGGCACAGCAGAGCUGAACUCAGGAGUUUCCAGCACCCACUCAUGACCUUAUCAUGGGAGGUCUCCAGCUGCUGGAGCUCCAGGAAGCCUUUGAGGCCAGCCUGGUCUUUCCAAGAAAAGGUGAGGCGGCAAAGCGAAGAAUGUGGCCAGAGUUUAGAUGUUCCUCUGAGCCAGCCGAAAGGAUGUGGAGCAAAGAGCGCCCCAAGUUGCACCCAUGGGGGAGGCUACAGCUUCUGCAGGUGAUGGGAGCUGGUGGGGUACAGGCAGCAGCUCUUUAGCUGGGGGUUUCUACCUCUGACAACAGCCAAGCUGUUCUGGGACAAAGCUGCUUCGUCUGCUUUUUAAAAAGGGUGGGAUAAAAGCAGCCUUUUCAUUGCCUCCUCCCUGUUAAAAAGAUAUGUGAUGCUGCUGAGCUCCAUCCUGAGGCACACAAGCAGCCUCACAGCCCAGUGCAAGGUGACAUCAUCUGGCCUUUGGUGCCUCUCUGACAAAAGCACCAUUGUGUGACUGUCACUUCCAGGAGCCCCCCGCUGUCCCCAGGUUUAAUAGGGAGCUUUCCCACACACAGCCAUUCUGCCCUUCUCUUGCCAGCGUGGGCCAGCCCCACUUCACAGGGAAGCUGGGUCUUUUUUUCCCUCCCUACCUCUAUUCACUUACAGGAAAAAACAAAUUACCUUUUCUGUCCACAGUGCUGCCCAUCUGCAAGGGGAGGCUGGAGGGAGAGCUGGGGGAGCCAGCCAUGGAGCUCUGGCAGUGAAUUUGCACUGAAAACCAGGAGGGCAGUCUGGCUGCUGCCUUCCUGGCCAUGCUGAGCCCCACGAUGCGCCUUCACCCUGGGGGGAGCACCUGCUGUGUGCAGUGCACAGGUACAGCUGUCAUUGUGCCACGCUGUCCUUCAGCAGCUGCUUGGAGCUAAUGCUCUUUCCCUGCUCUUAAGCUUGGGUUAUUAAUUAGUUUCAGUAAUUGAAGUGGUGUCUUGGGACCCUACCCCAAAGGAAUCUCAUGUACCAGGCACUGAGUGUACGUGAGCAUAGCUCCUACCCCAAAACUGCUAAAUUAUUGCAGAUAAGGAGUGCUUGGUUCAUCAGAAGCAAGUCAAAUUCACCUGAAAUAACCCUUACAAGUGACACUGCAAUUAUGCACUGAGGCACCUUCAAGUAAUUCUGUAUUUCCCUAUAAAAAUCACUGCUGAGGCUCUGGCAGAGAAGGUC
Non-coding RNA from Anas platyrhynchos (mallard), 1989 nucleotides. NCBI's taxonomy places the organism in Eukaryota, Metazoa, Chordata, Aves, Anseriformes, Anatidae. The record is from RefSeq and is a predicted model, not a curated record.